This 1574-nucleotide ribosomal RNA is filed under the name Lactobacillus crispatus. RNAcentral describes it as "bacterial SSU rRNA". It matches the Rfam family "Bacterial small subunit ribosomal RNA". The record is from RNAcentral. Lineage: Bacteria; Bacillati; Bacillota; Bacilli; Lactobacillales; Lactobacillaceae.
UUUAAAAUGAGAGUUUGAUCCUGGCUCAGGACGAACGCUGGCGGCGUGCCUAAUACAUGCAAGUCGAGCGAGCGGAACUAACAGAUUUACUUCGGUAAUGACGUUAGGAAAGCGAGCGGCGGAUGGGUGAGUAACACGUGGGGAACCUGCCCCAUAGUCUGGGAUACCACUUGGAAACAGGUGCUAAUACCGGAUAAGAAAGCAGAUCGCAUGAUCAGCUUUUAAAAGGCGGCGUAAGCUGUCGCUAUGGGAUGGCCCCGCGGUGCAUUAGCUAGUUGGUAAGGUAAAGGCUUACCAAGGCGAUGAUGCAUAGCCGAGUUGAGAGACUGAUCGGCCACAUUGGGACUGAGACACGGCCCAAACUCCUACGGGAGGCAGCAGUAGGGAAUCUUCCACAAUGGACGCAAGUCUGAUGGAGCAACGCCGCGUGAGUGAAGAAGGUUUUCGGAUCGUAAAGCUCUGUUGUUGGUGAAGAAGGAUAGAGGUAGUAACUGGCCUUUAUUUGACGGUAAUCAACCAGAAAGUCACGGCUAACUACGUGCCAGCAGCCGCGGUAAUACGUAGGUGGCAAGCGUUGUCCGGAUUUAUUGGGCGUAAAGCGAGCGCAGGCGGAAGAAUAAGUCUGAUGUGAAAGCCCUCGGCUUAACCGAGGAACUGCAUCGGAAACUGUUUUUCUUGAGUGCAGAAGAGGAGAGUGGAACUCCAUGUGUAGCGGUGGAAUGCGUAGAUAUAUGGAAGAACACCAGUGGCGAAGGCGGCUCUCUGGUCUGCAACUGACGCUGAGGCUCGAAAGCAUGGGUAGCGAACAGGAUUAGAUACCCUGGUAGUCCAUGCCGUAAACGAUGAGUGCUAAGUGUUGGGAGGUUUCCGCCUCUCAGUGCUGCAGCUAACGCAUUAAGCACUCCGCCUGGGGAGUACGACCGCAAGGUUGAAACUCAAAGGAAUUGACGGGGGCCCGCACAAGCGGUGGAGCAUGUGGUUUAAUUCGAAGCAACGCGAAGAACCUUACCAGGUCUUGACAUCUAGUGCCAUUUGUAGAGAUACAAAGUUCCCUUCGGGGACGCUAAGACAGGUGGUGCAUGGCUGUCGUCAGCUCGUGUCGUGAGAUGUUGGGUUAAGUCCCGCAACGAGCGCAACCCUUGUUAUUAGUUGCCAGCAUUAAGUUGGGCACUCUAAUGAGACUGCCGGUGACAAACCGGAGGAAGGUGGGGAUGACGUCAAGUCAUCAUGCCCCUUAUGACCUGGGCUACACACGUGCUACAAUGGGCAGUACAACGAGAAGCGAGCCUGCGAAGACAAGCGAAUCUCUGAAAGCUGUUCUCAGUUCGGACUGCAGUCUGCAACUCGACUGCACGAAGCUGGAAUCGCUAGUAAUCGCGGAUCAGCACGCCGCGGUGAAUACGUUCCCGGGCCUUGUACACACCGCCCGUCACACCAUGGGAGUCUGCAAUGCCCAAAGCCGGUGGCCUAACCUUCGGGAAGGAGCCGUCUAAGGCAGGGCAGAUGACUGGGGUGAAGUCGUAACAAGGUAGCCGUAGGAGAACCUGCGGCUGGAUCACCUCCUUUCUAAGGAA